AUUUUUUACAGUGUAAAUCAGAUUUAUGAACAUGUUAAAGCUCUAUCUCUGUCUCUGUCUGUCCGUGGGUCACAGACACAUCGAUAUGUACAUUACCAUCUGUCACCUUCAUCCUCGCUGAGGGAUUUGAAAGUGCUGAGUGUGGUCUAAUCCACAGCCCUCAUCUUAGUGAGCGACGCCGCAUAACCAACCUGGCAUUUACUGCCUUCACACCACCAACUCCUGUGGCCCAACUCAUGUUGACGGGCCAGUCAUACGGUGUCAUUGUGAGAAUCUCAAUCUUGUGUGUGUCUUCAUCUCAUCUAAAAGACUAAUCGUCUUCAAGACUACAGAAUCUACUGCACCAAAUUGCUCUAAAAUGGCUGAAGCUGAUGGAGCAGAGGGCAGCCAAGACCUGGAGGCUCCAGCGGAUAACGAGCUGGAUGACGAAUACAGAGCCUUGCUGCAUUUCGGCAAAUACAACGAAGCUCGACGUGCGCUGCCUCGGGAGCAGUGGACCUCCAGGGAAAAGGCAAACUAUUACUUAGACCGCUUCUUCCUGGGGUUUUUGGUCCUUUUUUCGCUCGUGUUGCUGGGAGAAUGUUGCUAUAAAAUGUGGUAUGUGACAAACGUGAAGAAGAUCGUGGAGUUCGUGUCAGAUUCUGUGAUCUUUUUGUUCGACUGGCUCCUCAAACAGGAGCGACACGAGGAGCUGGCCGAGUUGUAGGUCGUCGAAGAAGUCGAUUCCAUUGUUGGGUCACCACUUUUCGGAGGUCUUCUAUAACAUUUAAAGCACACGUGGUAUCACAGCUCCUCACUAAAUAAUCCAUUUAUAGCUACAGCUUAACGAGAGGAAAUGACUGGACAUCCUCCAUACUCCAUACUUUCUGUUAGUGACUUGAUGGAAAUAAACACAAUAAUAUGCAA
This is a long non-coding RNA of Amphiprion ocellaris (clown anemonefish), 906 nucleotides long. RefSeq lists it as uncharacterized. The record is from RefSeq and is a predicted model, not a curated record. Lineage: Eukaryota; Metazoa; Chordata; Actinopteri; Pomacentridae. The transcript is spliced from 2 exons.